AGAGCGAACGCUGGCGGCAGGCUUAACACAUGCAAGUCGAGCGGGCGUAGCAAUACGUCAGCGGCAGACGGGUGAGUAACGCGUGGGAACGUACCUUUUGGUUCGGAACAACCCAGGGAAACUUGGACUAAUACCGGAUAAGCCCUUACGGGGAAAGAUUUAUCGCCGAAAGAUCGGCCCGCGUCUGAUUAGCUAGUUGGUGAGGUAAUGGCUCACCAAGGCGACGAUCAGUAGCUGGUCUGAGAGGAUGAUCAGCCACAUUGGGACUGAGACACGGCCCAAACUCCUACGGGAGGCAGCAGUGGGGAAUAUUGGACAAUGGGCGCAAGCCUGAUCCAGCCAUGCCGCGUGAGUGAUGAAGGCCCUAGGGUUGUAAAGCUCUUUUGUGCGGGAAGAUAAUGACGGUACCGCAAGAAUAAGCCCCGGCUAACUUCGUGCCAGCAGCCGC
RNAcentral lists this ribosomal RNA (448 nucleotides) under uncultured bacterium. Its description in RNAcentral is "SSU rRNA". It matches the Rfam family "Bacterial small subunit ribosomal RNA", at positions 26 to 518 of the family's 1533-position model. The record is from RNAcentral.